RNAcentral lists this ribosomal RNA (162 nucleotides) under uncultured bacterium. Its description in RNAcentral is "partial 16S ribosomal RNA". It matches the Rfam family "Bacterial small subunit ribosomal RNA", at positions 345 to 524 of the family's 1533-position model. The record is from RNAcentral.
GAGGCAGCAGUGGGGAAUAUUGGACAAUGGGCGCAAGCCUGAUCCAGCAAUUCCGCGUGAGUGAAGAAGGUCUUCGGAUUGUAAAGCCCUUUCGUUGGGGACGAUGAUGACGGUACCCAAAGAAGAAGCCCCGGCUAACUUCGUGCCAGCAGCCGCGGUAAU